RNAcentral lists this ribosomal RNA (1286 nucleotides) under Rhynchocypris oxycephala (Chinese minnow). RNAcentral's name for it is "Phoxinus oxycephalus (Chinese minnow) partial 16S ribosomal RNA". It matches the Rfam family "Bacterial large subunit ribosomal RNA", at positions 614 to 2596 of the family's 2925-position model. Lineage: Eukaryota; Metazoa; Chordata; Actinopteri; Cypriniformes; Leuciscidae. The record is from RNAcentral.
CAUGAUUUAGCCAGUACCCCCAAGCAAAGAGACCUUUAGUUUGAUACCCCGAAACCAGGUGAGCUACCCCGAGACAGCCUAUGUUAAUUUAGGGCUAACCCGUCUCUGUGGCAAAAGAGUGGGAAGAGCUCCGGGUAGAAGUGAAAGACCUACCGAACCUGGUGAUAGCUGGUUGACUGAGAAAUGGAUAGAAGUUCAGCCUCACACACCCCGAACCAAAGAAUAUUAUCACCAAGAUAUUUAGGGAAAAAUGCGAGAGUUAGUUGAAGGGGGUACAGCCCUUUUAACAAAGGAUACAACCUUAACAGGAGGAUAAAGAUCAUAAUAUAUAAGAUAUACUGUUCUAGUGGGCCUGAAAGCAGCCACCUAAGCAGAAAGCGUUAAAGCUCGGACAGAAAGAAGUUUAUUAUACAGAUAAAAAAUCUUAUUCCCCUAACUAUAUCAGACCAACCCAUGCCCGCAUGGAAGAGAUUAUGCUAAAAUGAGUAAUAAGAAGACCCGCUCUUCUCCCGGCACAAGUGUAAACCAGAUCGGACCAACCACUGGAACUUAACGAACCCAACCCAAGAGGGUAGUGUGAUUAACAAAAAACUCAAGAAGACCUCACAUUAGCUAAUCGUUAACCCCACACUGGAGUGCUUUUUAAGGGAAAGACUAAAAGAAGGGGAAGGAACUCGGCAAACACAAGCCUCGCCUGUUUACCAAAAACAUCGCCUCCUGCAACUAAACUGAGUAUAGGAGGUCCAGCCUGCCCAGUGACUACGGGUUUAACGGCCGCGGUAUCUUGACCGUGCAAAGGUAGCGCAAUCACUUGUCUCUUAAAUAGAGACCUGUAUGAAUGGCUAGACGAGGGCUUAACUGUCUCCCCCCUCCAGUCAGUGAAAUUGAUCUAUCCGUGCAGAAGCGGGUAUAAAUAUACAAGACGAGAAGACCCUUUGGAGCUUAAGGUACAAAGUACAACCACGUUAAACAACUCUAUAAGAAGCAAGAACUUAGUGGUAAUGAAUUUUUACCUUCGGUUGGGGCGACCGCGGAGGAAAAACAAGCCUCCGAGUGGACUGGGCCUAACCCCUGAAGCCAAUAGAGACAUCUAUGGGCCGCAGAACAUCUGACCAAAAAUGAUCCGGCUAAAAAGCCGACCAACGAACCAAGUUACCCAAGGGAUAACAGCGCAAUCCCCUCCCAGAGCCCAUAUCUACGAGGGGGUUUACGACCUCGAUGUUGGAUCAGGACAUCCUAAUGGUGCAGCCGCUAUUAAGGGUUCGUUUGUUCAACGAUUAAAGUCC